RNAcentral lists this ribosomal RNA (404 nucleotides) under Verrucomicrobiota bacterium. Its description in RNAcentral is "Verrucomicrobia bacterium partial 16S ribosomal RNA". It matches the Rfam family "Bacterial small subunit ribosomal RNA", at positions 355 to 776 of the family's 1533-position model. Lineage: Bacteria; Pseudomonadati; Verrucomicrobiota. The record is from RNAcentral.
UGGGGAAUAUUGCACAAUGGGGGAAACCCUGAUGCAGCGACGCCGCGUGAGCGAUGAAGGCUUUCGAGUCGUAAAGCUCUGUCCUAUGGGAAGAUAAUGACGUUACCUACAGAAGAAGCAACGGCUAAAUACGUGCCAGCAGCCGCGGUAAUACGUAUGUUGCGAGCGUUAUCCGGAAUUAUUGGGCUUAAAGGGCAUCUAGGCGGUAAGACAAGUUGAAGGUGAAAACCUGUGGCUCAACCAUAGGCUUGCCUACAAAACUGUUGAAUUAGAGUACUGGAAAGGUGGGUGGAACUACACGAGUAGAGAUGAAAUUCGUAGAUAUGUGUAGGAAUGCCGAUGAUGAAGAUAACUCACUGGACAGAAACUGACGCUGAAGUGCGAAAGCUAGGGGAGCAAACAGG